AUGGUACUGAAUGGUGCCCUAUGAGUCAUGAUAUUUUUGUGUGAAACAUCAGACUUCUUACGAUUCGCUUUAGAUGAUAACAUGAUCUUAUUGUUUACUGUAGUCCUUUUGGCAGGUAAUGUGAUGCAGGUUGUGAGGCCAUAGAAAAUCUAUUGUUAGGUUUUUUAGAGUUUUGAAGUAGGAGCUGUGAUCAGUUUUCAAGUAAAUGCUUCUUAAUAUAAAAGUUGGUAAUCUGGCCAUGGGUAUAGAGCUUGUAGCUGAAUAUAGAAUAAUGGUGUGGUGGAGCUGGUGUUUAUGUUCAGUUACCAACUCUAAUAUCAUAAUCUUAAUACCCAUGAGUGAAACAAAGUUCAUUGAUUACAGGAUGUUGAUAGUUCUCACAAAAUAAUUUAUAGGCUUCGUGGAAUGGAGGAUUCGAACUCGCAAUCUUCAGGUCAUGAUGGGGUUGAUGAGUUGAUCAAUCCUCUAUCCCGUGCCUUCCCCCUUCCCUUUCUUUCAUUAGUUCUACUCAGGUCUACCCCUUACCUCUCCUACAUUACUCUUGCAUGGUCGGGAUACACAGCUGAACUUCCGAAAUUAGCGUCUUUUUGUUAAGUAACACUAGUUUUGCAUUGAUAAAUUUUGGGUCAGCAGAACAAGGGACUCAUGUUCUGCUUGCAUAUAUAGAAGUCAAUUGAACUUCCUUAUCGAAGGUCUUUCUAAAGCUGCUUUGCAAUCUCAUCCUUGGUUGUUGAACCUAAUGGAGGUUCAAUCCAUGGAUCCACUGUAAAAGUAAAACUUCGGAUAUGAUAGAUGGGAACUACUUGACGAUAGUUGCCGUUUUCUCAAGCAAGAUUUGUAAUCAUGUAUCUGUGUGCUUGUCCUAGCGAGUGAAGAUCAGAUGUGGAUGUUUUGAAUGAGCGGUGCCCAAGUGACCGCAACCCUUGUACAUGCCGGAAGUCACAUCCAGGGAGUUGGUUUUGCUCACAGUAUUGAAUAAAUGGUCACCCAAGUACUAUUACUUAAAUGUGCAAACGUUGUUAGAGUCUUGGCUUGUCUCCAUUGAAUAUUUCUGUUCUGGAUUUUGUCGGAGGGUUGUAUUCUGGGCUAGAAUGUUAGAUGUUGGAACGAAGUGAAAGCUGGUCUAUUGAAAAUUUUAUACAGUUGUGAUAAGAGCUUCAUACAUGAUUAGAAUA
Prunus mume (Japanese apricot) is the source of this 1175-nucleotide non-coding RNA. The record is from RefSeq and is a predicted model, not a curated record. NCBI's taxonomy places the organism in Eukaryota, Viridiplantae, Streptophyta, Magnoliopsida, Rosales, Rosaceae.